CUCAAAAAAAAAAAAAAAAAAAAAAAACGGCAGCUUCCUUGGUAGUAUAUGCAGCCUGUUUGUUGUAUGGGUUGCUCUAAGGGACCUUGGAGACAGGC
Molecule: small nucleolar RNA, 98 nt
Organism: Macaca mulatta (Rhesus monkey)
Lineage: Eukaryota; Metazoa; Chordata; Mammalia; Primates; Cercopithecidae
Gene: SNORA70
Rfam family: Small nucleolar RNA SNORA70
About the family: snoRNA U70 seems to be exclusive to mammals and is a member of the H/ACA class of snoRNA which contain H (ANANNA) and ACA box motifs. H/ACA box snoRNAs are involved in the conversion of uridines to pseudouridines (5-ribosyluracil) a constituent of structural RNAs (transfer, ribosomal, small nuclear, and small nucleolar).
Source: Ensembl